RNAcentral lists this ribosomal RNA (484 nucleotides) under uncultured bacterium. RNAcentral's name for it is "partial 16S ribosomal RNA". It matches the Rfam family "Bacterial small subunit ribosomal RNA", at positions 30 to 507 of the family's 1533-position model. The record is from RNAcentral.
AUUGAACGCUGGCGGAAUGCUUUACACAUGCAAGUCGAACGGCAGCACGGGGGCAACCCUGGUGGCGAGCGGCGAACGGGUGAGUAAUACAUCGGAACGUGCCCGGUCGUGGGGGAUAACGUAGCGAAAGUUACGCUAAUACCGCAUACGAUCUGAGGAUGAAAGCGGGGGACCUUCGGGCCUCGCGCGAUCGGAGCGGCCGAUGUCAGAUUAGGUAGUUGGUGGGGUAAAGGCCUACCAAGCCGACGAUCUGUAGCUGGUCUGAGAGGACGACCAGCCACACUGGGACUGAGACACGGCCCAGACUCCUACGGGAGGCAGCAGUGGGGAAUUUUGGACAAUGGGCGCAAGCCUGAUCCAGCCAUUCCGCGUGCAGGACGAAGGCCUUCGGGUUGUAAACUGCUUUUGUAUGGAACGAAAAGGCUCUGGCUAAUACCUGGGGCUCAUGACGGUACCGUAAGAAUAAGCACCGGCUAACUACGUG